This 381-nucleotide ribosomal RNA is filed under the name uncultured Clostridium sp. RNAcentral describes it as "bacterial SSU rRNA". It matches the Rfam family "Bacterial small subunit ribosomal RNA", at positions 397 to 795 of the family's 1533-position model. The record is from RNAcentral. Lineage: Bacteria; Bacillati; Bacillota; Clostridia; Eubacteriales; Clostridiaceae.
CCGCGUGAGUGAUGACGGCCUUCGGGUUGUAAAGCUUUGUCUUCAGGGACGAUAAUGACGGUACCUGAGGAGGAAGCCACGGCUAACUACGUGCCAGCAGCCGCGGUAAUACGUAGGUGGCAAGCGUUGUCCGGAUUUACUGGGCGUAAAGGGAGCGUAGGCGGACUUUUAAGUGAGAUGUGAAAUACCCGGGCUCAACCUGGGUGCUGCAUUUCAAACUGGAAGUCUAGAGUGCAGGAGAGGAGAGUGGAAUUCCUAGUGUAGCGGUGAAAUGCGUAGAGAUUAGGAAGAACACCAGUGGCGAAGGCGACUCUCUGGACUGUAACUGACGCUGAGGCUCGAAAGCGUGGGGAGCAAACAGGAUUAGAUACCCUGGUAGUC